UAGGGAAUAUUGCGCAAUGGGGGAAACCCUGACGCAGCGACGCCGCGUGUGGGAUGAAGGUCUUCGGAUUGUAAACCACUGUCGCGAGGGACGAAGCUCUGACGGUACCUCGAAAGGAAGCACCGGCUAACUCUGUGCCAGCAGCCGCGGUAAUACAGAGGGUGCGAGCGUUGUCCGGAAUCACUGGGCGUAAAGGGCGCGUAGGCGGCCCGGUAAGUAGGGGGUGAAAUCUCAUGGCUCAACUGUGAGGCUGCCUUCUAGACUGCCAGGCUUGAGCACAGUAGAGGCGAGUGGAAUUCCCGGUGUAGCGGUGGAAUGCGUAGAGAUCGGGAAGAACAUCGGUGGCGAAGGCGGCUCGCUGGGCUGUUGCUGACGCUGAGGCGCGAAAGCGUGGGGAGCAAACAGGAUUAGAUACCCCCGUAGUCCCUGAGCGGGCUGGCAAGGCGCAU
Molecule: ribosomal RNA, 449 nt
Filed under: uncultured bacterium
Lineage: Bacteria
Description: bacterial SSU rRNA
Rfam family: Bacterial small subunit ribosomal RNA
Source: RNAcentral